This 1806-nucleotide long non-coding RNA is filed under the name Apteryx rowi (Okarito brown kiwi). RNAcentral's name for it is "lncRNA (ENSARWG00000018375.1)". The record is from RNAcentral. Lineage: Eukaryota; Metazoa; Chordata; Aves; Apterygiformes; Apterygidae.
CACGGAAGAGUCUAGAAACAGUGUGAGAUGGGUGAUCAUCAGCAAACAAUGAGCCAGUGGUGCAGGCUUUUACCACCCUGCUUAAUGAGAGUUCUUCCCUCACAGUGUGAAAAAUCACUGCCAAAAUACUACCUGACUCACUCCCAAAGGUGAGCAGCCUGACAACUUGCGAGGGAAGAAGAUAAGGACCAUAAACAGAAGGAGUUCUUCUAGCAGCAACUGGAGUAUCAUCUUCAAAUAGGUACAAAAUAUAUGGCUGCAAACAGUUGUUUCCAAGAAGUAUUACUGAACCUUGCAAGCUGGACUAAGUGACUUGAAUUUAAACUGCACUGGAUUAACUGUUGUAUGUGUGCACACUGGGACUCAGAAAGUGGACCUGGUCUGAGAUGAGAAGACACUCUCGCUUUCAGUUGACUCUGUAGCAAGCUGGUUCUCUGGUUUCUGUACAGAGACAACUACUAAAAGAACACAAGAGGUUUGCCUCCUUGCUUGCUUUCUGAACAGCCUGUGACUUGUUUCAACUCUGUCAUCUCUCAUCUUUUGAGGGGGUGCUGUCAUAAAAGAAUAACUGAAAUAAGCACUUCAUAGCCAAUGGCAGUCUCUUCCUGAACUUGGUUGAAACACUAGCUAUUUUUAUUUUUUUAAUCAAUGGAUCUUUUAAUUUUUGCCUCUGAGGCCUGAAAAUGGCACACUGCAGGUGAAAUACUGACCAGGAUCCUUGCUGACUGAAUGCAUUCCUUACCAAUUUGAACUGAAUCUGCCCAAAGUAUAAUGCAGUGUGAAAGGAGAUAGGGGACCACCCUUGUAUUUGGUGGAGAACUACUAUCUUGUGUGGUGGCUUUAUUCACUUCCUUAAAAACAAAACAAAACCCAGCCUUUUUCARAAUGCAAACUGAAGCAUUGUGGGUUUUGCUCACAUAAAUGCACAAACAGUCCCUUGCCUCCUUUUUUCCCCCCCUUCUCCACUCCCAACCCUAGUCUUCACCUUCAAUGUUUACAUGGUGAUCUAGCAUGCAUUAAACAGUGGUUGAAGUCUCACAUCCCAUAUCUUGCUACAGGCUAUGGUGGCUCGUUCUGAUUCUUCUCCCUAUCUUUUUAUCUUGAAUAUGGGCAGCAACGUGGGUAACCCUUCCUAUUUGAAGUUGAAUAGAUGUUCUGCCACUUGAAUGGAACCACAACUAGUGAAUAACCUAAGCAAACUUAAGUUUUCAGCCACCGCUUUAGAUUCUUGGCAUUAAAUACAGGACAAACAACUUCUUGUAUGGAAAGUGCCAAAAGGACUUUUUUUGAGAACUUUCUUCUUAUUUGAAGGCUAGAACAUCCUAGUAGCAGAAAAGAAUUAAAAUGGCUUGACUGGUAGUCUAUUUCUCCUUACAGAGUGAAGGCUUAUAACAUGACAUGGCAUCUGAGGUAACUGAGCUGAUCUGACUGAGAGGGAUGAUUCCCAGGGUUGCUUAGAGCUGGUACAUCUGCCUCAAACAGCUGAGCUAGGCUGAAAUCCUGCAGUUAGAUCUUGCUCUGCUGUGCUGCUCUGUGGCAAAUGGGGGUGGCUGGGGGUGGUGCUCUCUCCCUGGCCUCUAACAGACUGAUGCUCACUGGCUGCCUUUACAGCACUGAUACUGAGCAUAUCUUUGCCAUAUUUGAUGGCUAAGUAGCAAACACUUAUUUCAUAUACAAAUGCUCUUAAACAUGUUUACCUUGUGUUUUUUAUAACUGCUGUGAUUAACAUUGUGAAAUAAGUUUAACUCUAAUAUUUUCUAUUUCUUUUAUAAUAAAGAUAUCUUUUUGAAAGAGUACUGGAACUCU